CCUGGAGGGAGGGCAGGGAUAAACACCUCCAGUUACCCCUGGAUCCACCGCUUAACACAGACCACUUAUUUACCCGUCACAGCAAGCCUGCCUGCAUUAUACAGAAAAGGGACAAAGAGGAGCAAAGAAAGUAAUGGAGAACAAGCCAGAACACUCGGAUCCACCAUUUAAAACCCUCCAAUGGCUUCCCGUGAUGCCUAGUGAAUUAUGAACUUCUUACCCUGACCUGCAAGGCUCUUGCCCAGCCCUGUCCACCUCCCCACCUCAGCUCUUGCCGCGACCUCCCUCCCUUGGCACAUGCCACCCUUUGCACACGCCUGUGCCUACGACACGCUUGCCCUCGCACUUGAACCGGCCGACUUCUCCUAUCUCCCGGGUCUCAGCUGAGAAAACACUUCCCCUGGGAAGGGAACUCCCACGGCCUUUUGACCAUCUCCCGUCACCGCAUCAAUCUCACUGCACUGGAGGUGUCUCUUUGUCCGCCUCCCCUACAAGGCCGUGAAGCUAGAGAUCAUUGAUCUUGGUCACAGUUGUCACCAGAGUAUACAGUAGGUGUUCCAUCAAUAUUUAUCGGCUAAAUGGAUGGAAGAGAACCUUUCCACCUGUGAACAUGCCGGGGAUCAGCACUGUCUGCCAUUUCCCCUGCUAUUGGCUUGAGCUCCAGCUUUAUCCCUGUGUUCCUCCAAUAAGGCUUUGUGUAGCUGGGCUUCUGGACCUGAGCUAAGCUGUGAAAAGGGGCCACAGUGGAGGAGGCAGGACCGCUGGCUUCUUGUCCAGCUUGCCCCUCCUCUCACGCAAACCCAGAUCUGCGUCGCUCCAAACCUGCCGGCUCUGGUCCUGGACCGUGUCUCCGAGUCCUACUUCCUCUCUGAUCCUGGACAUCCCUGAAGGAAGCCUGAUGGUUGCCUUUAAAUACAUAUUAUUUUAAUGUAUUCUUUUGAAUAGGCAGGAUAUGCGCACGGUACAAAAUUCAAAAGAUACAAAGGAUGGAAAGUAAGUCUUUCCUAUUCCUGCCCAAACCUCCCUCGCAGCAAUCUCAGAGGUCAAUGUAGUUACCACUUUCUUGGGCAGCCUUCCAGAGAUAAGUUAGGCACACAUAAACAAACAUAUAUGAACUCUCUUCUCAUUCUGUACGUGCUGCCUUGCACCUUACUUUAAGUUAACCUGAGACCGCGUGAUGACUCUACAAGUACAAGCACAGGGGCCUCUUUCUUUGUCCUGGCUGCAUACUAUUUCAUCGUAUGAAAUUGUGUCAUCCCUGAUUGAAUGAAUCCCCUGCCCGUGGACACUUAGGUUGCUUCCAGUCUUUUGCUGUUGUAAACGCGCUGUGGUUAAUAAUCCUGAACUCCAACGGUUUUGCUCAUGGGCCAGCAUGAGGAUAAAUUCUAGGAUUUAUCUAUAGGAUAAAAUUCUAGAAGCGGAAUCUCUGGGUGGAAGAGUCUGUGUAUUCGUCAUCUUGGUAUCCACCGUCAGAAUGGCCUCCGCAGAGGGGGGUGCCCAUUUACCCACAGCGUUGCACACGUUGUGUGUUAACAGAUGCUUUGAGUUUUGUCAUCUGGUAGGUGCUAAGUGCUAUCUCAGUGUGGUUUGACUUUGCUUUUCUCUCAUUAAAAAAAAAAUCGUGCACUAAAAAAAUACA
Felis catus (domestic cat) is the source of this 1639-nucleotide long non-coding RNA. RefSeq lists it as uncharacterized. The transcript has 2 exons. The record is from RefSeq and is a predicted model, not a curated record. Lineage: Eukaryota; Metazoa; Chordata; Mammalia; Carnivora; Felidae.